RNAcentral lists this ribosomal RNA (443 nucleotides) under uncultured bacterium. RNAcentral's name for it is "partial 16S ribosomal RNA". It matches the Rfam family "Bacterial small subunit ribosomal RNA", at positions 338 to 795 of the family's 1533-position model. The record is from RNAcentral.
CCUACGGGUGGCAGCAGUAGGGAAUCUUGGGCAAUGGAGGAAACUCUGACCGAGCAACGCCGCGUGAGUGAUGAAGGUCUUCGGAUCGUAAAGUUCUUUUCUAAGGGAAGAAGGACGUGACGGUACCUUAGGAAUAAGCCUCGGCUAACUACAUGACAGCGGCAGCGGUAAUACGUAGGAAGCGACCGUUAUACGGAAUGACUGGGCGUAAAGGUUGCGGUGGGGGGGUGGCAAGGUCGUAGCUGAACGCCAAGGGUGCACCUUGGAAAGACUACUAAAACUGUUUGACUUGAGUGCAGGAGGGGCAACCGGAAUUCCUAGUGUAGCGGUGGAAUGCGUAGAUAGUAGGAGGAACACCAGUGGCGAAGGCGGGUUGCUAGACUGUAACUGACACUGAGGCACGAAAGCGUGGGGAGCAAACAGGAUUAGAUACCCCAGUAGUC